CCUACUGGUGGCAGCAGUGGGGAAUAUUGGACAAUGGGCGAAAGCCUGAUCCAGCCAUGCCGCGUGUGUGAAGAAGGCCUUCGGGUUGUAAAGCACUUUCAGUGGGGAAGAAAGCCUUGGGGCUAAUACCCUCGAGGAAGGACAUCACCCACAGAAGAAGCACCGGCUAACUCCGUGCCAGCAGCCGCGGUAAUACGGAGGGUGCGAGCGUUAAUCGGAAUUACUGGGCGUAAAGCGCGCGUAGGCGGUCUGAUAAGCCGGUUGUGAAAGCCCCGGGCUCAACCUGGGAACGGCAUCCGGAACUGUCAGGCUAGAGUGCAGGAGAGGAAGGUAGAAUUCCCGGUGUAGCGGUGAAAUGCGUAGAGAUCGGGAGGAAUACCAGUGGCGAAGGCGGCCUUCUGGACUGACACUGACGCUGAGGUGCGAAAGCGUGGGUAGCAAACAGGAUUAGAUACCCCUGUAGUC
RNAcentral lists this ribosomal RNA (465 nucleotides) under Vreelandella stevensii. RNAcentral's name for it is "partial 16S ribosomal RNA". It matches the Rfam family "Bacterial small subunit ribosomal RNA", at positions 338 to 795 of the family's 1533-position model. The record is from RNAcentral. Lineage: Bacteria; Pseudomonadati; Pseudomonadota; Gammaproteobacteria; Oceanospirillales; Halomonadaceae.